RNAcentral lists this ribosomal RNA (445 nucleotides) under uncultured bacterium. Its description in RNAcentral is "partial 16S ribosomal RNA". It matches the Rfam family "Bacterial small subunit ribosomal RNA", at positions 354 to 796 of the family's 1533-position model. The record is from RNAcentral.
GUGAGGAAUAUUGGUCAAUGGACGAGAGUCUGAACCAGCCAAGUCGCGUGAAGGAAGACGGUUCUAUGAAUUGUAAACUUCUUUUGUGCAGGAAUAAAGUGGGUUACGUGUAACCUUUUGUAUGUACUGUACGAAUAAGGAUCGGCUAACUCCGUGCCAGCAGCCGCGGUAAUACGGAGGAUCCGAGCGUUAUCCGGAUUUAUUGGGUUUAAAGGGUGCGUAGGUGGAUUGAUAAGUCAGCGGUGAAAGUUUGCAGCUUAACUGUAAAAUUGCCGUUGAAACUGUCGGUCUUGAGUGCAAAUGAGGUAGGCGGAAUGUGUUGUGUAGCGGUGAAAUGCUUAGAUAUAACACAGAACUCCGAUUGCGAAGGCAGCUUACUGGGAUGCAACUGACACUGAUGCACGAAAGCGUGGGGAGCGAACAGGAUUAGAAACCCGGGUAGUCC